GGCGGUGUAGCUCAGCGGUUAGAGCGCACGGUUCAUACCCGUGAGGUCACUGGUUCGAAUCCAGUCACCGCUACCA
Molecule: transfer RNA, 76 nt
Filed under: Actinomycetota bacterium
Lineage: Bacteria; Bacillati; Actinomycetota
Description: tRNA-Met
Rfam family: tRNA
About the family: Transfer RNA (tRNA) molecules are approximately 80 nucleotides in length.
Source: RNAcentral